UGGGGAAUCUUGGACAAUGGGCGCAAGCCUGAUCCAGCCAUGCCGCGUGGAUGAUGAAGGCCUUAGGGUUGUAAAAUCCUUUCGUGGGGGACGAUAAUGACGGUACCCCAAGAAGAAGCUCCGGCUAACUUCGUGCCAGCAGCCGCGGUAAUACGAAGGGGGCUAGCGUUGUUCGGAUUUACUGGGCGUAAAGCGCGUGUAGGCGGGUCGUUAAGUUGGGGGUGAAAUCCCGAGGCUCAACCUCGGAACUGCCUUCAAAACUGGCGACCUGGACCUAAGUAGAGGCAAGUGGAAUUGCGAAUGUAGAGGUGAAAUUCGUAGAUAUUCGCAGGAACACCAGUGGCGAAGGCGACUUGCUGGACUUAUGGUGACGCUGAGACGCGAAAGCGUGGGGAGCAAACAGGAUUAGAUACCCCAGUAGUCCCUGAGCGGGCUGGCAAGGCGCAU
Molecule: ribosomal RNA, 447 nt
Filed under: uncultured bacterium
Lineage: Bacteria
Description: bacterial SSU rRNA
Rfam family: Bacterial small subunit ribosomal RNA
Source: RNAcentral